GGGAGUGAAAGGCUUCGACAGUUAGAUGUUUUUAUUCUAGUUGCGUGCCAAGUUCGCAGGAAACUUGUCAAAAACUUGCAACACUCAAAUGCAGCUAAAACUGCUGUGAAGUCACCUUUUGGUAACUUUGCAUUUUCUUUCGCCUAAACGCGGAUGACAUCCAGUACGUUUGAUGUAUGAUAAAACGUGCGGGUGUAAAACAAUCAUACUUGGUCAGGCGAGGUUGACGUACCGCCCUCGACAAUUAGUCUCGUGAUGUAUGUGUUUGUUAUUUAUAAAAGUACAUUAUUAAACGAAUAAGUAACUACGCACGUAGAUGCUAAAUAAAAACCUUUCUGGACGGGGGUUCAAGUCCCCCCACUUCCACAA
This 369-nucleotide transfer-messenger RNA is filed under the name Candidatus Nomurabacteria bacterium RIFCSPHIGHO2_02_FULL_38_15. It matches the Rfam family "transfer-messenger RNA". From Rfam's summary of the family: Bacterial tmRNA, also known as 10Sa RNA or SsrA, is named for its dual tRNA and mRNA-like properties. Its role is to liberate the mRNA from a stalled ribosome. Lineage: Bacteria; Candidatus Nomuraibacteriota. RNAcentral also lists the same sequence under 1 other name. The record is from RNAcentral.